This 465-nucleotide ribosomal RNA is filed under the name Vreelandella stevensii. RNAcentral's name for it is "partial 16S ribosomal RNA". It matches the Rfam family "Bacterial small subunit ribosomal RNA", at positions 338 to 795 of the family's 1533-position model. The record is from RNAcentral. Lineage: Bacteria; Pseudomonadati; Pseudomonadota; Gammaproteobacteria; Oceanospirillales; Halomonadaceae.
CCUACGGGAGGCUGCAGUGGGGAAUAUUGGACAAUGGGGGGAACCCUGAUCCAGCCAUGCCGCGUGUGUGAAGAAGGCCCUCGGGGUGUAAAGCACUUUCAGUGAGGAAGAACGCCUGGUGGUUAAUACCCAUCAGGAAAGACAUCACUCACAGAAGAAGCACCAGCUAACUCCGUGCCAGCAGCCGCGGUAAUACGGAGGGUGCGAGCGUUAAUCGGAAUUACUGGGCGUAAAGCGCGCGUAGGUGGCUUGAUAAGCCGGUUGUGAAAGCCCCGGGCUCAACCUGGGAACGGCAUCCGGAACUGUCAAGCUAGAGUGCAGGAGAGGAAGGUAGAAUUCCCGGUGUAGCGGUGAAAUGCGUAGAGAUCGGGAGGAAUACCAGUUGCGAAGGCGGCCUUCUGGACUGACACUGACACUGAGGUGCGAAAGCGUGGGUAGCAAACAGGAUUAGAUACCCUGGUAGUC